Molecule: non-coding RNA, 7598 nt
Organism: Nothobranchius furzeri (turquoise killifish)
Lineage: Eukaryota; Metazoa; Chordata; Actinopteri; Cyprinodontiformes; Nothobranchiidae
Source: RefSeq, a predicted model, not a curated record
UAAAUUCUUCAGCUUUGUCACUUCAGGAGCCGUUCUGGUGCAGCACAGUUUGACAGAAAAAUGCCUAACGACUCCUGGCAGAAGCAACAACAUAUUUAUAGCCGCUUUCACCACAACUUAUGCCAGACUGAAAUUAUUAAAUGCGUUGAACAAACUGGGAAAUCGCGUCAUUUAUUACGAUACAGAUUCUAUAAUUUAUUCUGUCAAAGAGAAUGAGUGUGUUUUACCAACAGGACCGCUGCUGGGGGAUUUAACCGAUGAACUGCACGGCGAUUCCAUCACGGAAUUUGCUUCAUCCGGUCCAAAAACGUAUGCUUACAAAAACCGGGACCGCCAGCAGGUGGUGCUAAAGGCUAAGGGUAUCACACAGUCAUUCAUUUCAUCUGAUCACAUCAAUUUUGACAGCUUAGCGCUGCUGGUUGAGGGGUACGUGGCUGGAGAAAGGGGAAGAUUUUUGCAAACUCGGCAGGAGAUCGUCAAGAGGGAUAAAAAAGGCCUCACUCUCUCGAAUGUUUCAUUUGUGAAAAGGUUUCGUGUGAUUUUUGAUAAGCGGAGGUUAUUUGCUGACGGCAGUACAGAACCAUUUGGGUAUUAAAAAUGGAAACUGAUUUUGACGCUAGACUAAAAUCUCCAUUCAGUGCACAAAUUGCUGGUCCGUCAGGCUGUGGAAAAACCUUUUUUGUAAAAAGUAUUUUGGAAAAUUGUAUGCAAUGUUUAACUGAAAUGCCAAAAAACAUCGUGUGGUUUUUUACAUCUUAUCAACCUAUGUAUGAUGAUCUUUGUAAUAAAAGUAUUAGAUUCGUUCAAGGUCUCCCGCUUUCAUUCGAGGAUGAUGAUUUAUUUCCAUCGGGUCAAAACCACUUGGUGAUCUUGGAUGACAUGAUGUCUCAAACGUCCAGCCAUCCUGGUGUGCUAAAAUUAUUUACCCAGCUGAGACAUCACAGAAAUAUGAGCGUCAUUUUAAUCACUCAAAAUGUUUUUCAUCAAGGAAAACAUAGUCGUUCCAUCAGCUUAAACACCAAUUAUUUGAUUUUGUUUAAAAACCCUCGAGACAAAUUGCAAAUCAAUGUUUUAGCAAAUCAAAUAUAUCCUACCCAAAAAAGAUAUUUCAUGGAGAGUUUUCAAGACGCUACGUCAGAACCGUACGGUUAUUUAAUUGUGGAUUUAAAAGCGGAAACGCCAGAAUCUUUCCGUCUCCGUACGGGUUUACUUCCGGAUCAGCUCACUGCGGUGUAUUUGUCUAAAACAGAGCCAUGUCAGCCCGGAUAAAACGCAACGCCAAGAUUCUACGUGCUUUGUCACGUAUGAAGCCUCGCCAACGUCAGGAGUUUUUAAAAGGGUGCUCCGAGGACGUUCUCAAGGCUUUGUGCGAGAUAGCUUUAAACGUGAUCAAAGGAAAUAUACGUCUGUCGCCGCGUCAAUUUCAAAAGUUGUCUAAAAGCAAAGAAUUGCUCAGACAGUUGACUCAUAACAAAACUAGCCUUUUUAAAAAAAAGAAGCUUUUAGUCGGCCAGAAAGGCGGAUUUCUACCAGCCGCUGCGCCUCUGAUCGGUGAACUGAUAGGUGGCUUAAUAAGGAAAUAAACGAUGGCUUCUCAAAAAAUGUUUAUGGUGACCCCCCAACAAUUACAUCAGCUUGUUAAACCUACGAUACGGGACGUGGCUGAAGAGAAUCUUGAAUCUGAAAUGAAAUUAAUUAUGCAGGAGACGGGAUUAACGCCGUAUGAGAAAAUUAAAAAAUACAAUGCGCUGCUACAGCGUUAUUUAAAGUUGUUGAGAAGCGGAUUACACGAAAGUGCACCUCCCACUGAACCGCCCACGGUGACGGCUGAGCCUACGUCAGCUGUAGAAACAGCUGCUGACACACUCAUUAAUGAAACGCUACAGAAUCUUCCUGUACGCGGAAGAAAAAACGCCGAGUACCUGCUGAAAAUGACACGAUUAAACUGGACUCCGACGGGGGAAUUUAAAUAUAAAGGCGAUGUGCAGAAAGGAUCACACAUCCUUGACUUGAUUAAAAGCAUCGGCAACCCGUUAAAAAAACAUCCACAAUCAGAACCGACGGGUUGGACUCCUUUCCUAAAAACUCUAGUAGAAAAAAAUGUACCCUUAUCUAUCGUGUCCAAUCCGCUAGCGAAACGUCAGAUUACGCAACUCAGGAACGGAGGGGUUGUGCUUCCGGAUUCUGAAGACGGUGUUUUGAAGAAAAAAAAGAAAAAAACCGAGGAGAAAUAUCAUUUUAUCACCAAGCUGGAGCAAUGUCCCCACUUUGAAGAAAUGGAUCAGCUUUUGUUGGUCUCUCUUCCGUUAGACCAAGCACGGGUACGGAGUAGAUGGAGUUAAACACCUUUAAAGUUGACAGAACGAGGAGACAAAUGAUCAGAAGUCCAUUCACUGUUUCACCGCUCAUGAGGGGGAGAGCCUUUGCAACAUACAGCCGGUCCCGCGACCUGCUCCCGUCAGUUGCUUCGGACAGACUCUCCCCGUUCUGCUGAAAACGGCUGAUUUUUAUUGAAGAUUACAGGAAUGUUACAUACGUAGUUUGCCAUACACACACGUAAUUCUGCCAUCUGCACCUGCAGACGCACGUCAGCUAAUAGCCUUGUUAAUGAAAGACCAAUUCAUCCCAAGGACAUGCAACCUUGAGAUGAUCAGGACACAUCCUGCAACAUCCUUUGCUAACAAAGACAGUUGUUCUUGUAUUGAGGAACUGAAGGAAGGAACGCUUUCACUCCCUUAUGCAGCUGUUCAGCUUGAGCAGAAAAGGCACAGAGAGGUCUUUGAUAUUAUAACAAGAUUCCAUGAAAAGGCAUAUAAUAAUGUAUUUAUGAUAAUAUAUAAGGGGCAAAAGUGAGAGAUACAUAUUUAAUCAUAUAAAAGAGCUUAUAAUAAUAUAUGAAAGAGCUUAUAUGAGAGAUAUAUAUUUUCAAUCCCCCUUUUGAACUCUUUUAAGAGUUCAAUAAAGAUAUAAGAAAUCAAAACAAUAACACCAAAUUUCAUCAAAAAGAAUCCAAUAAGCAAAGUUUUAAAAUACCAAUACAAACAACCAAUCAGAUUACAUUUACUCAUCUUUCUAGCAGUAAACUAAUACAAAAAACAUGAUCAUACUUUCAACUGAACAUGUUACAACAUGUAUGGAUCGCAUGCAACUCCAUAUGAGGGCGAAAAACCCUAAUUAUCAUAUGUUUAUAGGGAAAAUUCCCCCAUGUCCCCCCAUUUGUCAUAUCUCAAUUUUGGGGCGAACGCCUGUUGGCAUAGAGUGUGCAUGCCUAGGACAUCAAUGAUCAAAAGAAAUAAAAACAACACAAUCAAAAAACUCAUAGAAAUAAACAGUUUAAGGGAUUGUUACAGAAAUCACUCAAUAUUCUCACACUCUAACAACAUCUUCUUCAUCAUGAGAGUCAUCACUUUCAUCAGAGGGUUCCCCUCCCAAAUAGAUUUUAGGAUUGGCUAGUAACAAGGGCAUCUGGAUAAUUGGGUCAGCAGGUGGAGGAGAGAUGGCAGUGGUGAUCAAUAUGUGCAUUCAGAAUUGAGUUUGGAAAUGCAAUGAGUGUAAACAUAUAUCUAAUACUAAACAGGUAAAUGAAUAAUAAUAUAAAAUUAGUAGUGGGUAUAAAAUAUAAUCCUUGUAAAAUAAAUGAGGGUGUUAAAUAGAACCCUUGUAGAAUGUUCAUAGGGUGGUUACUUCUUCCCCCUGUUGAGGUCCUUUCACUGGCUCCAGGCAGCUGCAGGGGGUGAUGAUGUCAAGAUUCUCGUCCUGCAGGAUGUGGUGGCAGCUUGGCAUGCUACCUCGUCCCGCAGAAUUGGUAGCUUGGCACGCUACUGCAGUCAGCUACUUCUCUUCCUGGUUUUUGGAUCCUUUUUCUGGUUAGGCAGAUGUCAGCUGCUUCUCUUCCAGGUUAGGCUCCUCCCGUCCAGCCGGACAGCGUGUGACGUCCUCUCCGUGAUCCUGUAUGGCUCAGUCCACCUCGGUUCCGUCCACUUCCUUUUGGUGACUUUUAGCAGGACCCAGACGCCUGGCACCGAAGGCGAAGCAUCUUCGUGUGUGUAGUUUUGGUCCAAUGAAGGCUUUCUCGGCUUGUGCAGUCCUUGAUCUCGGCAGAUAGUUGGUAGGAAGAUUCACACUCCGGCCGGACCAGAAGUUCCCCGGACCGAUCGCCUAGGGAUUAGAGGUUAUGCACAAAAAUGUCCUAGCUCUUACUGACCCUAGCCUCUGAUACCUUCAACAUCAGACACAUACAGUUACGAACAGCAAGCGCAAUUAAAGGUACAGUGACAUCACGACAUGGACACACAGACACACAAACACAUACACAUGCACAUACACAGAGAGAGAGGGAGAGAGUAAGAAUGUGUGUGGGAGAAAGAAAUGUGUGGGAUCCAUUUUGCCACCAGCAUCUCCACCUGUGUCACAGAGAAAAAAUUGCAAAGAAAUUAAAACAUAAAGCAAACAACAAUAAUUCAAUGAGUAUAAAUGAUCAAACUAAAAUAUACAACCAUGCAUGGGUUUUAUAACAGUUCCGGCAACACUGGAGAGGAAGCCUUGUACAAUGAAUUCUUAAGAUGUCCUUCAUCAAUUAGAGGUUAUAACCAAAUUGUUUCAGGAUCCUGAAUUUGAAUUUGAAUUGGUUAAUUUACUCAGAAUAGUCCAAUGUCUUUGUUGAUGUUUCUCAAGGCUCGGCCAUGCCCAUAUAGAUAAAUAAGCAAACAAACAAGACAAACACAGUCAAACACACGGUCCAUACACGUCUCUGUGCCCUCACACACCAAGCAAAUGUCAGACUGAAGCGAAAGUGUGAAAUACUUAACCUAACGCUAAAUCAGUGGAAAGAAAAAAUAAGACCUAAAGCGUGUAAUCAAAUUAAUCCAACAAAACUUCCCAUAACUGCUGUUCUAAACUCACGUUGCGAUGUGAUCUCUCCAAUUAGAAAUUAGGACAAUCACUUUACUAUCAAUUCAACCAAAAAGUUUCAGGUUGUCCCUUACCUAAACUACUUGUCUUUCUUACCUUCUUUAUUUUAUUAUUUUUUUAAGAACCUCACUUAGCACAAGAAAUCCUAAGAAUUAAUUCACUACUUAAGGUUAAUUUGUAAAUAACGAAACUGCAGUUACAGGUUUGUUUGUGCAUAGUAUUGGUAAUCAGCAGUUUUUUUUUUCCUUAUCUCCACAUCUAGAAGUGUGUUUCUGUGCUACUUCUCCAUCUAUAACACAAGUUAGUAUCAUCCUUAAAGCAUCUGAAAUUAAGCUGCAUUGCUAAAUCAAUAACGUGAUUUGUGCUAAGAAAUACUCCCCUAUCCUCUUCCUUUUUCCAGUGGCACUGAAUGACAGAUUUUAGAUCAAUUUAACGUUUUAUGACUAUUACGUUUCAUUUAAUUAAUUUUGCUUUUUCUCUCUUAUUUUUAUCUAUUUAUUUAUUUAUGUUAUUUAUUUAUUUAUCAUGCCAUCCUGCGAUGAUAAUCCUAAAGACUUGUUAGCCAAUUUGUCGUCAAAAAGGCCAAUUAAAAAUAUUAUGUUAAAGAUUUCACAAGAUAAAAAAUGUGAACAUAAUUUUUAUCGAAUGAGGGGUACCAUUUAUUCAAUAUCUUGUAACAUUAUUUUCUACCUCACUAUUGUCUCGGAUGAGAUGUUCCAUGAAUCAUUUAGUCAGCUGAAUGCCAAAUUAUUCAUUUAAUGUUUAUUUUUAUGCAAUGAAUGGAAUGGGAUGGAACGUUAUUAUAAACUGUCCGGAAAUUUGCGCAUGUUUGUUCGAAGGAGAAAACUGUUGAAGCCUAAAGCGUUCUCCUAGACUUAUAAAUAGACACCGUUUCCUUAACUAAUGAAGAUAAGUGAUGACGCCGAUGAAUGACUUUUUGAAAAGAAAAUAAGGCUUUACUGCAUGUCCGCUGCAGCUGAGAAUCCUAAGACAAUAAAGAUUAUAUUGACGUCCAAUGAUGAGUUGGGCUGAAAUCCAGGUUACUAAUCCUAUUAUUUAUUUAUUUAUUGUUAUUAUUAUUAUCUUUUUUUUUUUUUUUAGGCUAACUUUCUCAGUUAACUAUGUUCUACAGUAGUUUAGUAAAUUUUCCACAGUUCUGACAUUUCAUCAAUUCAACUGGUUGUUGCCAAAAAGCCUUGUUCAUUACCUGACUGCAGCAAGCAAUCUUUUACUGGGUGUAACCAUAGGAAACAGUCUCUUUUGAGCCUCUCUUUGUAAGUCCAGGAUGACCACCGUCAUUGAUUGAAGUUCACAUGUUGGCACACAUGCUCCCCCUUUUGUACUUUGUUUCAUCAGCAGCAGGGCAAAUAAGUUUCUGCCUCUUUGUCCAGCUUGUAGUGCUCCCCGUCUUGAUGUUAUGAGUCACAGUUUUUGGUGAGGGCUUCCAGGUUCUCUUUGUAUAGAAGUCAGAGCCAAACAUUCUUUGCAGCUGGUUGUGACAGGCCCACCCAGUAAAGUUCAUGCCUCCACAAUGCACAGCAAACGUUUUCCUUAAAUAUGUUGAUUGAGUUGAAAGGACAGAACUUUCUCUUUUACAAAUCAAAAUCAACGAAGGUUUCUAAUAUUUAGUCGACUUUAUUGACUCAAAGGUAAAUCUAGACUAUUUCCUAUGCACAAUUUUUCUGACUCGUCAAAUCGGUUCUACACAGGUUUUAAACUUUAGGCACAAUCUAUCCCAAAUGCAAGAUCCCUCCUUUCAUUUUUUAUUUAUCUAUUUUAUUUUGGGAAAAUAACUACCAGUUUUUAACUCAAAACAGCCUAGUACAGUUUCUAGCCAGGUUACAGGAAAUAAUACUUAGUUUAUCUGUUUUUUCAUUAUUCAGCAUCUCAAAAUCCAGCCAUUAACGUUAAUGGUUCUUAAAGUUGAGGUAAGACAAUUAUUGGAUUUUGUUUUAUAGCAAGAUUUAACAAAUAUUUUAUUUCCUGACUGAUUAUUUGUUAAUUUUAUGGUUUUCAUAAAGAUGAUCCUGAGAGGUUCAGAGCUGCUUUUCGCAGUACCCUGUGCUAUUUUUAGACUGCGGGACUCCUGUGUGUAAAAGUGGGUGGAGUCAGGUCCCCAGGCUGAAACUCCAGUCAUUUUCACUAGAUCUGCCCGAGAGGAAGGAUCUCCUGAGUACCCUAACCAGAAGCCUUAAGUCUCUUGAACUAAAUAACCGUCUAGCAAAAACAUGGACCGCACCCUGUUUCUCAAGCAGCUGCUCCCUCUAUUAAAAACUGAGUCAUUCAGAAGAUCCAGCGAAAGCAGCUCAUGCAAGAAGACACGCAUCCACUCAUUCACAUGGCACAGACGACAUUCUUUGUUUGUCACAGUCUUUUUUUUAAAGUAAGUCAGUUCGUCACUUAUUUAUUCUCUCUCUCUCUCUCUAUAUAUAUAUAAUAUUUUAAGCACAGAAUUUAUUUAACACUGCACUGGUUAUUUUCAGAAUUUAUUGCUUACUAUGCUUUUAAGCAGGACUUAUGUAACAUUAGAGCAAAUCCAAUUGCAAUUUUUUGAGAGCACUCUGAGGAAUAGUUUAUAUAUUUAUUUUCUGCAGAUCUGUUUUGAUUUUACUGUUUAGCAGCUUAUCUGACUUUAUAUAUAUGUAUAUCCAUAUAUUUCUGAAAUAAAGCUGUCAUAUACAACCUUA